UGGGGAAUAUUGGACAAUGGGCGCAAGCCUGAUCCAGCCAUGCCGCGUGUGUGAAGAAGGCCUUCGGGUUGUAAAGCACUUUUGUUCGGGAAGAAAUCUUCCGUCCUAAUACGGCGGGAGGAUGACGGUACCGAAAGAAUAAGCACCGGCUAACUUCGUGCCAGCAGCCGCGGUAAUACGAAGGGUGCAAGCGUUACUCGGAAUUACUGGGCGUAAAGCGUGCGUAGGCGGUUCGUUAAGUCUGCCGUGAAAGCCCCGGGCUCAACCUGGGAAUUGCGGUGGAUACUGGCGGGCUAGAGUACGGUAGAGGGUGGUGGAAUUCCCGGUGUAGCAGUGAAAUGCGUAGAGAUCGGGAGGAACAUCUGUGGCGAAGGCGGCCACCUGGACCAGUACUGACGCUGAGGCACGAAAGCGUGGGGAGCAAACA
RNAcentral lists this ribosomal RNA (427 nucleotides) under uncultured Arenimonas sp. RNAcentral's name for it is "bacterial SSU rRNA". It matches the Rfam family "Bacterial small subunit ribosomal RNA", at positions 355 to 774 of the family's 1533-position model. The record is from RNAcentral. Lineage: Bacteria; Pseudomonadati; Pseudomonadota; Gammaproteobacteria; Lysobacterales; Lysobacteraceae.